GCUGGGACAGGCGAGGUCGGACCGGUCUCCUGGAGAAGACUUUGCUUCCCGGGGGGUCCGGGGCACGGGUGACCUCCGGAGCGGGGCCUUGCGGCUCUGAGUCUCCUCCUGGGAGGGAAGCAGGGGGACUUCCAGCUGGUUUGGGAGCCCGGUCUCUACCCAAGCUUUCCGAGCCUAGUUCUGACUGCUUCUCCUCAUCCCCCCUCGGUAGACCCGGAGGGAUUUCCGGAAAAUACACGCGUGAGCUAAGGCAGGGCGGCAGGAGAAGCUGUGGAUGCCAGUGUGAGGUGGAACCCUUGCACCGAUUGCCAGCCUGCCCUCCAACCAAGUGCCCGCUUUCCGCAGCGCCGCUUGAAAAGAAGGCCUCCCGGACAGUCUCCAGAUUCGUCAACCGGGUGAACGCGAGGCAUUGUCUCUGUGUGCAUAUCUGUGGGAGGAGUUUCCUUCAAAGGUCCGUUUGCCCACAUCCGGAGGAAAUGAACAAAUGAGGACACCGAGUCUCUCAGAGCCGAAGCGAUUCCUAUUUCUGUUGGUUUCAAAGACGUCUGAACACCGGAGGAAAACACUUUACGAUGUAAGCCCACACCUCUGAGGCUGUGAAACCCCUUCAGGGUAGGAAACCAGAAACCACCGGCUGGGUCUGAGCCCGGGCAGGCUUCCUGAGCAAGACUCUCAACUGCCGGUCGCCUCAGAGGGCUGUCCCCAGGACCAGGGCGCAGGCACUAGAGGCCCAGGCCACCGUCACACCCUGGGCAGUGCUGGAAGGCCUCCUCACGUAGCCUGACUUCUCCUUGUCCUCGAGGGGAGGGAAUGCCAGGAGGGUUGCUAGUUCGAGGGCGGGUGGUCAGGGUGGUCAGGGAGGCUGUGCCCAGGCUUCGAGGCCAUCAGGAUGGUCCUGCAGUGAAGAAAGCAGGGAUGGCACUGCUCUGACAGCGACCCAGUGGCCACAGGGGGGCGGAGGGAGAUAGGCCAUUGCAGCCCACACCCCAGGCCACAGCCAAAGGGCUGGUGCCACAGCAGGGAGCCAUAUGUUGUGAUUUCUUUUAUUUUGCCAAAUAAAUAUACAUUUUUGAAACUAA
Molecule: long non-coding RNA, 1079 nt
Organism: Suricata suricatta (meerkat)
Lineage: Eukaryota; Metazoa; Chordata; Mammalia; Carnivora; Herpestidae
Exons: 2
Source: RefSeq, a predicted model, not a curated record